Molecule: long non-coding RNA, 399 nt
Filed under: Oryza brachyantha (malo sina)
Lineage: Eukaryota; Viridiplantae; Streptophyta; Magnoliopsida; Poales; Poaceae
Description: long non-coding RNA (OBRA_LNC000592)
Source: RNAcentral
GGUCGGAUGAAUUCCGGCGAUUAAUCAGAAUCGGCGAGAAACGGGUAAGAUUUGGAUGGCACAAAGAGGAGAUUGAAGUAAACGGCCUGCCAAAUUAGCAAGCACCCAAACUGCUCUGUUUCCAACAAAUUUAAUAAUCUGCAAAAAAAAGGAUUCGCAACUUCGCAGGCUUGGAAGAUGGAAUCGGCCUACAUAGCAGCAAACUAUUCCUACUUGUGUUUUUUUGUGGUGGGUUUUCCUUGGUUGGCGCCUAUGUACAAAUCAGGACGCUUUUUCUCAGCCGUGCGCCCGUGUGGUGUAGUCGAGCAGCUGCUGUGAGUUGGCGGCGGUCAUGCCGGUUGCGACGAAAUUGACCGGACCGGUGGGUUGGCGGCGGGUCACUGGAAACCGCCCAAGNNN